UUUAGACGACGAAGUGGUUGAUGCCAUGCUUCCAAGAAAAGCUUCUAAGCUUCAGGUAACCAGGAACCGUACCCCAAACCGACACAGGUGGUUGGGUAGAGAAUACCAAGGCGCUUGAGAGAACUCGGGUGAAGGAACUAGGCAAAAUGGCACCGUAACUUCGGGAGAAGGUGCGCCGGUGAGGGUGAAGGACUUGCUCCGUAAGCUCAUGCCGGUCGAAGAUACCAGGCCGCUGCGACUGUUUAUUAAAAACACAGCACUCUGCAAACACGAAAGUGGACGUAUAGGGUGUGACGCCUGCCCGGUGCCGGAAGGUUAAUUGAUGGGGUUAGCGCAAGCGAAGCUCUUGAUCGAAGCCCCGGUAAACGGCGGCCGUAACUAUAACGGUCCUAAGGUAGCGAAAUUCCUUGUCGGGUAAGUUCCGACCUGCACGAAUGGCGUAACGAUGGCGGCGCUGUCUCCACCCGAGACUCAGUGAAAUUGAAAUCGCUGUGAAGAUGCAGUGUAUCCGCGGCUAGACGGAAAGACCCCGUGAACCUUUACUAUAGCUUUGCACUGGACUUUGAAUUUGCUUGUGUAGGAUAGGUGGGAGGCUUUGAAGCGUGGACGCCAGUCUGCGUGGAGCCAUCCUUGAAAUACCACCCUGGCAACUUUGAGGUUCUAACUCAGGUCCGUCAUCCGGAUCGAGGACAGUGUAUGGUGGGUAGUUUGACUGGGGCGGUCUCCUCCUAAAGAGUAACGGAGGAGUACGAAGGUGCGCUCAGACCGGUCGGAAAUCGGUCGUAGAGUAUAAAGGCAAAAGCGCGCUUGACUGCGAGACAGACACGUCGAGCAGGUACGAAAGUAGGUCUUAGUGAUCCGGUGGUUCUGUAUGGAAGGGCCAUCGCUCAACGGAUAAAAGGUACUCCGGGGAUAACAGGCUGAUACCGCCCAAGAGUUCAUAUCGACGGCGGUGUUUGGCACCUCGAUGUCGGCUCAUCACAUCCUGGGGCUGAAGCCGGUCCCAAGGGUAUGGCUGUUCGCCAUUUAAAGUGGUACGCGAGCUGGGUUUAGAACGUCGUGAGACAGUUCGGUCCCUAUCUGCCGUGGACGUUUGAGAUUUGAGAGGGGCUGCUCCUAGUACGAGAGGACCGGAGUGGACGAACCUCUGGUGUUCCGGUUGUCACGCCAGUGGCAUUGCCGGGUAGCUAUGUUCGGAAAAGAUAACCGCUGAAAGCAUCUAAGCGGGAAACUUGCCUCAAGAUGAGAUCUCACUGGAACCUUGAGUUCCCUGAAGGGCCGUCGAAGACUACGACGUUGAUAGGUGGGGUGUGUAAGCGCUGUGAGGCGUUGAGCUAACCCAUACUAAUUGCCCGUGAGGCUUGACCAU
Molecule: ribosomal RNA, 1369 nt
Filed under: Pseudomonas coleopterorum
Lineage: Bacteria; Pseudomonadati; Pseudomonadota; Gammaproteobacteria; Pseudomonadales; Pseudomonadaceae
Description: partial 23S ribosomal RNA
Rfam family: Bacterial large subunit ribosomal RNA
Source: RNAcentral